UAGGGAAUCUUCCGCAAUGGACGCAAGUCUGACGGAGCAACGCCGCGUGAGUGAAGAAGGAUUUCGGUUCGUAAAACUCUGUUGUUAGAGAAGAACAGCGCAUAGAGUAACUGUUAUGCGUGUGACGGUAUUUAACCAGAAAGCCACGGCUAACUACGUGCCAGCAGCCGCGGUAAUACGUAGGUGGCAAGCGUUGUCCGGAUUUAUUGGGCGUAAAGCGAGCGCAGGCGGUCAAUUAAGUCUGAUGUGAAAGCCCCCGGCUCAACCGGGGAGGGUCAUUGGAAACUGGAAAACUUGAGUGCAGAAGAGGAAAGUGGAAUUCCAUGUGUAGCGGUGAAAUGCGCAGAGAUAUGGAGGAACACCAGUGGCGAAGGCGACUUUCUGGUCUGUAACUGACGCUGAUGUGCGAAAGCGUGGGGAUCAAACAGG
Molecule: ribosomal RNA, 429 nt
Filed under: Bacteroidota bacterium
Lineage: Bacteria; Pseudomonadati; Bacteroidota
Description: Bacteroidetes bacterium partial 16S ribosomal RNA
Rfam family: Bacterial small subunit ribosomal RNA
Source: RNAcentral